AUCUCUGAAAAUUCCAAAAUAAGUUUUGAUCGCUGAAAAUUCCCCAAAGUUUCAGCCCCAAAAUUCCCCCGCCCCCACCCAAAAAAAAAAAACCUCUCUGCAAAUCCUUAGAAGUUAAAAUCCUUCCUUUAGAUCUUAGAUUCUACCCAGAAAAACCAAAAACAAUAGAAAUCCAAUAGAAAAACCCAAAAAAAAAUAUAGUUACUAUUCCAUUGAAAUUUUUAUUUCCGGUAGUUCAAGGUCUGUUAAUUGCACCUACUGAUUUCGACUAGUUUUGGGUUUAAUUGAGUUAAUUGUUGAGGAUUCAGAGGUCUACUGAUUCAAUUAAUUUUGCUGGAAUUCCUGAUUCAAGUUCAUCUGCAUUUACUCAUUUGUUUUGGGUACUGUACACUCCUGGGCUGUUGAAUCUGUUGGACUGCAUUUAGAUUGCUGCUGACUACUUCGUUUUCAUUUUACCUUUCAAAUAUUCAGCCUAUGAUCAGUGACCAACUUUUGCAAAAACACCAGUUAGUUGGAAGUCUACUUUGCAGUCAACGAUUGCUUUGUCUACAACAGAGGCAGAGUAUAUGACUAUUACAGAGGCUGUGAAGGAGGCAAUUUGGCUUCAAGGGUUGCUAAAAGAGCUUGGUGUUGAACAAAAAAGUAUCACAAUUUUUUGUGAUAGUCAAAGUGCUAUUCAAUUAGCAAAGAACCAAGUUUAUCAUGCAAGGACGAGGCAUAUUGAUGUUCGGUAUCAUUUCGUACGAGAAAUCAUAGAAUAAGGUGGAGUCACGGUGAAGAAAAUUCAUACUACAGAGAAUCCUGCUGAUAUGCGGAGAAAAGUGGUGACUGCGAUCAAGUUUCAACAUUGUUUGGAUUUGAUCAACAUUGUUGAACACUGAAGAUUGAAGAUGAAAACACAACCAAAAUUUGUUAUAGAGAGAAAAUUGAAGAUGUGGAAUUUUGCCAAGGUGGAGAUUUGUUGAAGUUUGGCAAAGUCCCACAUCGGUGGGUUCUUGAUUUAGUUUGGGAAUUUUUCCCUAUAAAAAGAGGCCUAAUGUUUAGGAUUUAAACACACCUCUCAUUUGCCUUCUUAUCUUCUUAAGGCAUUUGUAUCUUCUCUCUUUAGUAUUAUUUCACUUGUAUUUUUUGGAGUGGAAUAAAAUAUUGGUUGUGUCCGAGAAGUAGGCAAAAUUAGCCGAACCUCGUAAAUUCUGGUGUUCCUUUUAUUGUUGUUUUAUUGUCUUAUUUAUUAUUUGGUGGCUGCCAUAAUUUUUGGUAUAGUAGUUUUGACUUAUUCACACUAAUACAUUUGGCUUCCGCAACACGAACCUCCUAUCAUUUGUAUACCAACUUGCCUCUGGUGCAGCCCCGUAUCAUUAUCAUUUACUAAACCAGAGUUGAUCAGCCUGUUUAUUGUUGAGAGCAGCCAAGAAUGUUCUUCCUGCUGACGGAGAGAAAGUUCUUCCUGUUGACGGACAGAACACUGGAUUUACAAAGUUUAAUUGUCAGUUAUAGAUUUGGUUUUAGUAGAGGAACAAUGACGAGGCUACCUGCAUGGACAUUGGACCCGAGUCGGUUAUAUAGACUGCAGGCCCAACAUUAACUACGGCAUUACUCUAAAAACAAUAACAGGCAUGGUCAUGUUAUUAAGAGAAAAUAAUCCAUUUAGUAGAGAGCAAAUUAAGUAUAAUACCCCAUUGUCACCCAUUCGGACUCCCAUCACUGUGCGGCCAAGUUCAAGAAAAUAUGCACCUAGAUUGCUGAACAUUGUUCCGAUUGUUGUCUGUGCAUUUGACUGGGUUCCCUGGCGCACCCUCGGAUCACCUACGUUCAGAUUUUGGCUCAGAUGCUGCUGCAAUUCCUAUGCCAACAGAAAAUCCAACCAGUCAAAAAAUUUCGGCUGAUCUUAGAAUAAAUUAUUACAAGUCUUGCGUAGGGGCGUCCAGAAGGCAACCAGAAGUAAGAAAUAACAGUCAUUCUUUUCUUUCACAAAUCAAGCAAAUGAAAAUAGACGACGCUGUCAAUGAUAUUCGCAUGCAUCCACCAAAAUCCACAUCCAUUUAAUGUCUCUCGUCCUCCUCUCUCGACCACUCUUUUUAUUUCUUUGUAUAAAUUAUUGUAUCCUUUUUCCCUCUAGUACAUUUCAUCUUAAUUUGAGGGACAUAUGUAUAUACCUAACGAACAAAUAUCCAAUCCAGCUAUGCAUAUCGUUGAAGUCAAUAAACAACAAAAGAA
Molecule: long non-coding RNA, 2217 nt
Organism: Nicotiana attenuata
Lineage: Eukaryota; Viridiplantae; Streptophyta; Magnoliopsida; Solanales; Solanaceae
Exons: 2
Source: RefSeq, a predicted model, not a curated record